Molecule: non-coding RNA, 30 nt
Filed under: Mus musculus (house mouse)
Lineage: Eukaryota; Metazoa; Chordata; Mammalia; Rodentia; Muridae
Source: RNAcentral
UGAGGUUGCCUUGAUCACUUAUGCCGCCUC